UAUCUAAACUUUAAAUCAUCUCACAAUUGUUCUACCUACCAUUUUAUGUGAAUCCCUUGUAUCUAUGUGAUUAGCAUUAGUUUCUCAAACAUGUCUGUGGUAUUUUCUGUUCCCUCCACACCAGAGAUGAGCUAGGUUACAGGGAUUGGAAUUUCCGGUCAUCCCGCCUCAUAUUGCGACCAGAAAAGGUGGAGAGCUAGGGCAUUAGUAAAGUUGCAAAACGGGCAUGGGUGCCACUAUUAGAAGGCAUAUAGCUAACCCAACUAUGGUAUGCAGUUGAAUUUAAAGUGCUUUGAAACCUUUUUAGUCUUGUCUUACGGAGCCUAGCUAUUUUUAUUGAAAGGCGUCUUGCGCUUGUUCUUUUUUGCUUGCGGGCAAGCCUUGGUUAUAAGAUAGAAAGUUAUAGCUUUUGUAAAACUCAUUAAACUCUGGUUGAAAGAUGUCAUCCUUGCUGUUGGACUAGAACUACGACUCCAAAUCAUGGGUCUUUUGCAUCAUAUAUAGUAGAGGUGCACAAAUCGAGGGUUUUUUGUUUCUCAAAACCGGUUCAGGUAUGAACAACAAGGUCAAAAAAUGGGUAUUGAAAUAACCGUUUCGGGUGUGGAACCGGGUUUUGAAGAAUAUACAUCUAGACAAAACUAAUAAUUGAUCAAGGAAUGAAACAUUUAUAUACUAUUAUUUUUUAA
Molecule: long non-coding RNA, 686 nt
Organism: Helianthus annuus (common sunflower)
Lineage: Eukaryota; Viridiplantae; Streptophyta; Magnoliopsida; Asterales; Asteraceae
Exons: 3
Source: RefSeq, a predicted model, not a curated record